AUGGGAUCUGCAGCUGGAAGCUUCAGGGCAGAGCUCUGAAGGCUAUGAAAAGCUUCCCGUUAUUAUUUUGGAUAUUUACACCGAGCACAACAAGUCUUGUGUCCUCUGGGAGCUGUGGGGAUGGAAGUGCAGCACGGGGAGAGGCUGGAAAGGAACCUGACCUUUGGAUGGGAGGAACCAUCCUGGAGACUCCUCACAGCCCUCGAGGUGCUGAGUCUGGGAGCAGAUGAACUGUGAGUUGUGGCACCCUGGAUAUUUGCUGGAUGUGCAGUUCAAAUGCCCCGUGAAGCCAAAACUCCUGAAACUGAGGGGACACUUUUAAAAGUGCCUCAAAGAUGUUGAGGUAAAACUCUCAGAUAGACAGAGCUUUUUUGGAGCUGGCUUAGAACCAGCGAGAUUCUGCUUCUGGUUCUAGCACUGAAUUUAAAUAAGGAAGAGGAUCCCCCACGCGAGGUCUGGACCCACCGAACCGCAGCCACUUUUGAAGAGGAAAAACAAAAAUUGCUAAGAUGUGACUCCGCUUAUUUUGGGCGAAAAUUUGUAAAUCAUCUGGGAAAGAGUCUGGCCGGGUUUGCAGAGAGCUCAGCGCUGCAAAUCCUCGAUUCUGCUGCCACAAAAACAUCAAACCACCAGAGCGAGGGGUGGCAGAGCCUCUCUGCUCUUUCUGUAGCACCCCAGGGGUGGGGAAAGGGGAAAGGUGAGAAAAAAGAGUUUUGUUUUCGACAUUGUUUUGUUUGUGUCUGGCAAACUCAUCGUGAAUUUGAAACAAAACCCACCCUGAUCUGGAAGUGACCUCCCCACGUUUCUAACAAGCUGCAGCCUGGGUUUGCAUUUAGAUUCUGCAGCUUCACCAGGCAGCCAAGAGCCAGAGCGCGUUCAAUUAACCUAAACGCAGGUUUUGCAUUUUAAAAAGUGAUUCUGCAAGUAAUUUCAGAGUGGCUGCUUGUUGUGUGAGCCACCGUUCUGUGCCACAUCAAAGCCUCCACCUCGGCACCGAAAUUCUCUCCUGCCGUCUCAGCUCAGCAGUUGCCCUUUGUUGUUGCUCUUCACCAGCCAAACAAUGCCCCCGUGGUGUUUUUGCAGGAGAUAGGAUAAUGAGCUCAAAGUGCUGGGUGUGAAAAGUGAGCUUUUCUAGGCCUAACUGUGCUAAAGGUGCCAAAGUUAUUUAAGGUUUUGUUGUUUUUUGGGGUUUUUUUUGCUGCCCCGGUGCCAAAAUUGGCUUCCCAGCUUUUGCCACGGGGCUCCGGCUUGGAAAAACUUCUGAGCAAGCUUAACUUUAACAUCGGGAGUCAUCAGUGUCCCAAGCACCAUCACACGGAGCCGUGCUUGAAUCAUAAAAUCACAGAGUCUUGGAGUGAUUUUGCUUAAAAGGCACCUUAAAGGUCACCCAGAUCCAGAUCCAAGCCCCUGCCAUGGCCAGGGACACCUUCCACUAUCCCAGGUUGUUCCAAGCCAUCUCCAACAUGGUCCAAGACCAACUCUAAAACUCUGUUUUUCCUCACAAAGGCAAUUUUUAGAGUUUUAUCUCCAGCAUUAUUCCUCUUUCAUUCAUAGAAAUGAUGCUUUUCCGAACUGCACUUCUCAACCAACGGAUCCUCCUGAUAAUUUAUCCCUUGUCCAGGCCAACACAGGCAGUUCCAUGGAAGUAUUUUCACUCCACGGCGGAUAUCAGGGAUCCCAAGCUGAGACACAGCACCAGCCAGGCAAAGGGAGCUUCCACUGGCCUCCAGGAGCCACAAAACAUCUGGAAUGCCAGCUCCCACCCACCUAUGGAUGCAGCCAGGACCCUGCCUGUGUCUUCCCUGCAGCCUUUGCAGGACUCCUGUGAUGCUUUAAUUUUUCUCUUUGCAGUGUUCCACGUUCUGUGCUGCCCAGGUGCAGCUCUGAGCUCACACUCAGGCUCACUCAGCUCUCUGCACACAGCAGCCACACAAAACAAAUCCUGUUCCUGCUGCACACCGAGGACAACUGGGACAAGUGUUCAGCCCAAAAGCACAAACAACGGUGGCUGAGGGGAGAAAACAAGAAGGAUGGGACUGCAGAACCUGGAGCUGGAACUGGACAAUGAAACCCCAAGGUGCAAAUGGACCCAAACUUAUCAAAGUGUGAGACCUCGUGACUGGGGCUCCAUUUUGUGCCCAUUUUGUGUCCAUUUUGUGUCCAUUUUGUGACCAUUUUGUGACCAUUUUGUGUCCAUUUUGUGUCCAUUUUGUGACCAUUUUGUGACCAUUUUUUGUCCAUUUUUGUAUCCAUUUUGUGUCCAUUUUGUGUCCAUUUUGGUUCCACCUUGGGUGCAGCCCUGGCCAGGCUCUUGUCCUGCCCAAGGUGAAUCCUUAAAGGCCUUUCAAUAAAUCUCUACUUUAUUCUCCAGCUCUGUCCAGUCUCUGUUCCGGCUCAGCCUUCCCAAGGCAUCACCUGAGCCCGGGGAUGUCUCCUGAGCCCAUUCCAGGUGUGAAUCCAGCCCUGUUCCCAGCUUGUCUCAGAUGUCAGACCCUCAGCUGGGUUCCUGGUCUACACCUACUUCCAGUUCCUUGCCCUGUCCUCAGCUGCCUCCUCCAUCCUGACCAAGACCCUCCCAGGCUUCCAGGAAACCCAGGAGCAAACAGAACCUGUCACUGGUGCCUCCAAAUCUUCCAUA
Hirundo rustica (Barn swallow) is the source of this 2638-nucleotide long non-coding RNA. RefSeq lists it as uncharacterized. The record is from RefSeq and is a predicted model, not a curated record. NCBI's taxonomy places the organism in Eukaryota, Metazoa, Chordata, Aves, Passeriformes, Hirundinidae. The transcript has 3 exons.